RNAcentral lists this ribosomal RNA (115 nucleotides) under Escherichia coli. RNAcentral also lists the same sequence under 5 other names. The record is from RNAcentral. Lineage: Bacteria; Pseudomonadati; Pseudomonadota; Gammaproteobacteria; Enterobacterales; Enterobacteriaceae.
CCUGGCGGCCUUAGCGCGGUGGUCCCACCUGACCCCAUGCCGAACUCAGAAGUGAAACGCCGUAGCGCCGAUGGUAGUGUGGGGUCUCCCCAUGCGAGAGUAGGGAACUGCCAGG